UCAAUCUGAGAUCGCCUUCGUCAUGAUGAUCGUGGUACCGGGAAUCCGGUGAGACUCCGGAACUGACGCGCAGCGGUAUUGGGGAACGAGCGUGGCAUAAAGACACUGGCGAAUGCCGGGAAGUCGCCACGCAAGGCCGAGCCAACAGGUUCACGCCCCUGAGUCCGAAGACCUGCCAGGGAAUACAACUGCAC
Molecule: non-coding RNA, 194 nt
Filed under: Marinobacter algicola
Lineage: Bacteria; Pseudomonadati; Pseudomonadota; Gammaproteobacteria; Pseudomonadales; Marinobacteraceae
Source: RNAcentral